This 910-nucleotide ribosomal RNA is filed under the name Xylariaceae sp. RNAcentral's name for it is "partial large subunit ribosomal RNA". It matches the Rfam family "Eukaryotic large subunit ribosomal RNA", at positions 34 to 971 of the family's 3401-position model. The record is from RNAcentral. Lineage: Eukaryota; Fungi; Ascomycota; Sordariomycetes; Xylariales; Xylariaceae.
UUAAGCAUAUCAAUAAGCGGAGGAAAAGAAACCAACAGGGAUUGCCCUAGUAACGGCGAGUGAAGCGGCAACAGCUCAAAUUUGAAAUCUGGCCUUCGGGUCCGAGUUGUAAUUUGUAGAGGAUGCUUUUGGCGCGGUGCCUUCCGAGUUCCCUGGAACGGGACGCCUUAGAGGGUGAGAGCCCCGUACGGUUGGACACCAAGCCUCUGUAAAGCUCCUUCGACGAGUCGAGUAGUUUGGGAAUGCUGCUCUAAAUGGGAGGUAAAUUUCUUCUAAAGCUAAAUAUUGGCCAGAGACCGAUAGCGCACAAGUAGAGUGAUCGAAAGAUGAAAAGCACUUUGAAAAGAGGGUUAAAUAGCACGUGAAAUUGUUGAAAGGGAAGCGUUUGCGACCAGACCUUUUCCUAGCGGAUCAUCCGGUGUUCUCACCGGUGCACUUCGCUAGGUUGAGGCCAGCAUCGGUUUCUGUAGGGGGAUAAAAGCUUGGGGAAUGUAGCUCCUUCGGGAGUGUUAUAGCCCCUUGCAUAAUACCCUUACGGGGACCGAGGACCGCGCUUCGGCAAGGAUGCUGGCGUAAUGGUCGUCAACGACCCGUCUUGAAACACGGACCAAGGAGUCGAACAUUUGUGCGAGUGUUUGGGUGUUAAACCCUCACGCGUAAUGAAAGUGAACGGAGGUGAGAGCCCUUACGGGUGCAUCAUCGACCGAUCCUGAUGUCUUCGGAUGGAUUUGAGUAAGAGCAUAACUGUUCGGACCCGAAAGAUGGUGAACUAUGCGUGGAUAGGGUGAAGCCAGAGGAAACUCUGGUGGAGGCUCGCAGCGGUUCUGACGUGCAAAUCGAUCGUCAAAUCUGCGCAUGGGGGCGAAAGACUUAUCGAACCAUCUAGUAGCUGGUUACCGCCGAAGUUCCC